GCACACAAAGCCUUCGAACUUGGAGCGUCGUGUCUUAAAAUCCGCUCACUAGAGGACGAGAAACCGGCGAAGUCGAGAGCAAACAAAGAACCUAUCGGUGUUCCCACGUUUAAUAAGGGUUUUAGAAGCUCGAGACCUCAGUGAGGUUUUAGCUUCUCAGGAAGAACAAAGUUUCGGUCUUGUCUUCCGUCUUGGCUCGAUCAAAAAGCUCGAUUUCCAGUGGAAAAAUCGUAGCUUUGCUCGAGAAGAGCUUUUGUACUAACUUAUUCGAGUGUUUUGGAGCUUGGAAGUGGCAUUUAUAAUGAUAAGGUAGUCAUCUCUUUCCAUUUUAAGCAUUUUAGCCCUCGACAUGAGUUGAAGUUUGAAAUUUUAGGCCUUUGGGAAGCCAAAAGGUUGCACCUCUCAAGUGUUUUUCUUCACUUCUUUAGCCUCUCGUCUGUCUUCAGUCCUGGCUU
This 455-nucleotide long non-coding RNA is filed under the name Elaeis guineensis (African oil palm). RNAcentral's name for it is "long non-coding RNA (EGUI_LNC017672)". The record is from RNAcentral. Lineage: Eukaryota; Viridiplantae; Streptophyta; Magnoliopsida; Arecales; Arecaceae.